UAAGAAUUUCAGCAAGAUCUGGUUUCGAUUCAAUACUUAAUUAAUGAUUUCAAAUUUUUAGAAAAUUAACCAAAGCAACAUUUUAAAUUUUGUAUACAAAUUGCCCAAGAAAAAAAAUUGAGUAAACUGAAAAAUCAAAAUGAAAAGUCAACAAACCGCAGACCAUUAAAUAGUCCAAAUCCAACGCUGCACAACUACUCGACGACAGGUGGAGAAUUGUCAGAUUAGGUCUCCGCAACGUCACGCAUAAAUGUAUAUGUAUUGGUUCCAGCCAAGGCAAGUGCCAGCUGGAAGCUGUCAACGCACUGAUUUAUUAUUUAUUAACAGAAAACAAGUUGAAAGUUGCAAAAAGGAAACCGAAAAGCUGCGGUAAACGAAUAGGGAUGGAUGGCAAACGUGCAGGGAGUGCAAAGCGUGUCAGAAAAGAUGAGCUAGGCGGCGCAUGGUUAGUAUACCCAAACAAUCAAUCAAUUAUGUAGUAUAACUCAAAACAGCAGCCAAAUGGCCAAACUGAAAACAACAAAAUAAAGACAAAUUUAUUGAUUUAAAGUAUUCUGAAAUGUUCGGUCCGAAAUAAACCCAAACUGAUCACACUGACAGCUGUCAAUUCCAUAUACAAGCCAUUUGUGAUAACGUUCGUCUAUAGAAAUUGCUGCAAUCGGAAUAGUUUCUUUAAUAACUGGAAAAGAAAAUUCUUAGAUCAAAAUGUUUCAAGCAACUUGGUCAACUUCAGAUAGAAGAGCACAAUUACCUCGUCACUGCAUUUCUUUAGGAAUCUUAGAACGAAGGGGAGAAAAAUUCCGCUACUCUACUUUGCGUAAUCCCGAAUAACGCAUCGAUCGCAGAACAACGAAGCUGAUAGUGUUAUUAGACCACCUUUCCAGACGUUCAAAUGAGAUGAAGAGGUAGCUUAUAUCAUACACGGUUCUAUUGCGAGUAAACAAAAGUAGCAAACAUAGCAGCGCUUUAAGACUUUGUAGCGUGCUCGGUCGGUUCGGUCAGCAUACUAAAAUAACCACAAAGGAUUCUCUUAUCAAAGACGUCGAAAUAAUAGUCUUAGAAUCACAAACGAAGAAAAUAUGCACCAUGGGAUGACUCUUGAAGUAAUCGGGAAAAACUGAAUAGUUUUGUGGUAUGUCAACGGAUAAUGUCACGUAAGAGAGAACGAUGAGGUCCGACUCUCACCAGCUCUGACGGUAUUCCAGGUAGUUACUGCAGGAGACCAUCCUUCUCUGAAUUGAGGAAAUUUAAUUCAACUCUCUCUCAUUUUUUAUAACUUUUAUAUCUUUGAUCCUGUUUAGUCUACACUGCAUUGGUUUCUAUAUAAACCCUCACACACAUUGAAUGAUAUUAAACCUCUUAUUAAAAUUACCCUCCUAAAUCGGACGCUGGUGCAGACAAAUGUCAUUUACAAAAAUUCUACUAUCGAAAAUGUUUCUCAAUUAAAUUUGCAUUUCCAUUGCUUAAUUAUCUCAGCGGGCGGCACAACUCUCCAAUUGCGGCAGACACGAAUAUAAGCACAAACCUUGAGCUGUCAGAUGAGCGCAACCUGCGCACAAAUAUACACGUAAAUCUAUCUGCUGUACGGGGCGGUGCGCACAAACAGCAAACAACACCUGAGUUGACAGGUAAACAUAACAAUGGCGGGAGACGAAGGGGGAAAGAGGCGAAGCACCGGCCGCCAGCUGUAAUUCAUUUUUGGUUUAUAAUUUGCACGAAAAACUUACACCUCCACUUAGCUAUAUGCACCGGCCUCUUCCCCCGGUACCGUCUUGAAGCGCUGAUUGCUCUGGCUCUGUAGACACUGUGCGAAUUAAAAAUACUUACGUCUCAACAAAAUGCCAACACCAUACAUGCAAACGUACUUCUGGUACAGAGCAAAUGAAGUGGGAAACAAUGAAAAAACUUUUAGCAGCAAGUUUAGUAAGAAAAUUGUUUUCUCAUUUUCAACACCCUAAAGUAGACAAUGGAAAAUGUUCGAGACGAACACCAAAAACAGCAUAGCACCUGCAUAGUGUUUCGAUAGAUCACAAUAAACGAGCAAAAAUUCAAUAACAGGUAGAUUUUUUAACCACUAUCUUCCAUCUACAA
Long non-coding RNA from Bactrocera oleae (olive fruit fly), 2091 nucleotides. RefSeq lists it as uncharacterized. Lineage: Eukaryota; Metazoa; Arthropoda; Insecta; Diptera; Tephritidae. The record is from RefSeq and is a predicted model, not a curated record.